GCCAUCCUUGGGAUACCACCCUUGUAGUACUGGGACUCUAACCAUAGGCCAUGAAUCUGGUCUUGGGACACUGUCAGGUGGGCAGUUUGACUGGGGCGGUCGCCUCCCAAAAGGUAACGGAGGCGCUCAAAGGUUCUCUCAGUACGGUCGGAAAUCGUACGUAGAGUGUAAAGGCAAAAGAGAGCUUGAUUGCAAGACAUACAGGUCGAGCAAGGAUGAAAAUCGGACUUAGUGAUCCGGUGGUUCUGCGUGGAAGGGCCAUCGCUCAACGGAUAAAAGCUACCCUGGGGAUAACAGGCUUAUCUCCCCCAAGAGUCCACAUCGACGGGGAGGUUUGGCACCUCGAUGUCGGCUCAUCACAUCCUGGGGCUGUAGUAGGUCCCAAGGGUUGGGCUGUUCGCCCAUUAAAGUGGUACGCGAGCUGGGUUCAGAACGUCGUGAGACAGUUCGGUCCCUAUCCGUCGCAGGCGUAGGAAAUUUGAGAAGACCUGUCCUUAGUACGAGAGGACCGGGAUGGACGUACCUCUGGUGUACCAGUUGUCCUGCCAAGGGCAUGGCUGGGUAGCUAUGUACGGAAUGGAUAAGCGCUGAAAGCAUCUAAGCGCGAAGCCAACUUCAAGAUAAGAUUUCCCACCGCAAGGGUAAGACCCCAGAAAGACUAUCUGGUUGAUAGGUCGAAGGUGUAAGUGCAGCAAUGUAUUUAGCUUAUCGAUACUAAUAGGUCGAGGACUUGACCAAU
RNAcentral lists this ribosomal RNA (739 nucleotides) under Clostridioides difficile. RNAcentral describes it as "bacterial LSU rRNA". It matches the Rfam family "Bacterial large subunit ribosomal RNA", at positions 2185 to 2925 of the family's 2925-position model. Lineage: Bacteria; Bacillati; Bacillota; Clostridia; Peptostreptococcales; Peptostreptococcaceae. The record is from RNAcentral.